GUUCAAAAGUUUGUGGGUUUUGAAAGAAGUCUCUUAUGCUCACCAAUGUUACGUUUAUUAGAAUAAAAAUACAGUAAAAACAGCCAUUUUGUGAGAUAUUGUUACAACUUAAACAGUUUUCUGGGUUAUUUCAUGCUUUUUCCACUUUUUUCCACUUUUCCAAAAAUGAUAAAUAAAAUAAAUUUAAUCAAGACUUUUUAAACAUUCAUGAAAUGAAGACACCUUAAAAUGGCAAGAAAUUGUAUUGUGCCAUCUCAGGCAAUGUAAUUUAUUAUUUUAUGACUAUUUUUCUAACUUAUGUUUUGUUUUGUUUUUUUAUAUUUGCUUUUUUAUUCAUUUGCAGCAUAUUUUCUCAAUAUUAGAGUAAUACAUUAAAAUAAUAAAUUUUAUUUUCAUUCAGAUUUAUUUUAAAGUGUUUUGUAAUAAGUAAAUGAAUAAAAAAAAUCAGUCUUUCAAAAUCUCUCUCAAGUUUCCAUGGCAUUUUGUCAUGAUCUCUACAUGCAUGUUCUCAAACUCUAUCUCAAUCUAUGUAUCUCUUCUUUUAAUGUGAUGUCAUAAUAUCACAUUAUCUAUAAUGAAUGAGCAUUUAUUCAGGUUUCCAGAACUUCCUCUUCACUCACUUUCCAUCUGUUAGAGUCUGAUGGCUUGUUGAUAGAGUGACUCAGCUCUUGGUUAUGUAGAGAGUAUCCAUGCAGACACCCGCUUCUGUUUGUCUAAGAAUCUCGAGUUCCAGUGAGAUUUGGCUGUGUUUAGGUUUGGCUUGGGUACCGUCUCCAUUCUCAGAUUCAUGAAGAUAGAGGAGGACACUGUCUACUCUCUAAUGUGCCAACCUACUCUUGAACCGAAUCAACCUGGCCCUUUUCCUUUCGACAAAAGACACUUUGGUGUAGAAUGGAGCUCUCCCACGCUCUCCAGAACAACCUGCACAAAGAUGCAGCCUCCCACCUGCAUUAAAAUACUGCUGUAUCUGUAAUGCACUGUAUACUCUAUAAUCAGCUCAGACAUACAACAGCCAUAUGUUUGUAAAUGCUACUGGCUGAUAUAUACGUAUGAAACUAUCAAAGCUAUCAAUUAAAAACAUAAUACACUUAGAGUUUCAUACUAUUUAAUAAUGCAGUUCUUAACUUUUAGAUAACGUUGAAGCAAAUUGUUUCUUUGACAACAAUAUGUUUUUUGGAUAUGAUCAUAUUUACUUAAAGUUAAAGGCAGUACACAAAGCAUAAAGUUUUUUUAUAUAUGUAACACAUAUAUAAAUGCAAUGUUAAGGCAGUUAUUCUUGGCGAAUACACUUUAAAUUCAACAAUCCCUGAUAGUUUUACAUAAGAAAUAUAAAUGCUAGAGCCAUCGUUUUCAUUUUAUUUCAGUUAUAAUAUAGUGGC
This is a long non-coding RNA of Cyprinus carpio carpio, 1379 nucleotides long. NCBI's taxonomy places the organism in Eukaryota, Metazoa, Chordata, Actinopteri, Cypriniformes, Cyprinidae. The record is from Ensembl.